RNAcentral lists this ribosomal RNA (109 nucleotides) under Monodelphis domestica (gray short-tailed opossum). The record is from RNAcentral. Lineage: Eukaryota; Metazoa; Chordata; Mammalia; Didelphimorphia; Didelphidae.
GACUAUAGCCAUAUCUUCCUGAAUAUACCUGAUCUCACCUGAUCUCAGAAGCUAAACAGUAUCAAGCCUGGUAAGGAAAUGGAUGAGAAAAUAUUCAGUGCUGUAGGCU